GCUGGCGUCACCGUAAGCCGGCCAGAGCCCGGCGCGCUGACUGGAGGCCGGCGGCGCCCUUCUGCGCAGGCGCCUGAGGUCCCCGCAGUGUGCUCUUAGGAUUGGCUCUGCCGGGUUUUGGGACACAGUAACAAUGUGGAUGACAUGCCUCAAGGAACCUGAGCUCCUGCCUCCUGGGGCCUGUAUCUGCAUAUUCUGUCACUCCUUUUGGACUGAAGAGAAGAGGGGGUAUUGAUUAUGUGCUCAACAGGAGUUCCAGGAACCACCCUCCCUUCCUGCCCUUUCCACUGUGUCUGCCUGAGAAUGCUACCUGCUGCAGUCCUUGGGCCCCUUGCCACCCUUUGCAGACCUCCAGUGUAGCUUGCUGAAAGGGGACUCUUAAGAGAACCUGAUAUCCUGCCAUAUAUAUGCUCACGAAUCCCCUGGAGCUCGUCCCGACUUCUUCUGCAGCCUACCUGACAUGCGGACCUCCUCCAGACCCGGAACCUCCUGCUCUUUCUGGCUUCGGAGCCUCAUCCCCAACUUGUCUUCACUGUCAGUCUUGGCUCCCACCCGGUUCCUUGAUGGUCACUGCCCACACCCCAGAGUGGCAGCUGCCGCCCCAGCAAAAGUUAGCAUGACACUGUUCAUUGCCAAUUUGGUUAACACCCGGCAACCCCAAGAGUUGUUGACAUCACACCUAUAUAAACAGGAUGACUAUCCCUGGAGAAAAAUGACACCUGCUCACAUACCUUUACACAGACAAGGUGGCUCUGGGUGUACCUGCUCCCAAACCACAUUGAGGAAAUGAAGGGCUGAAAAGAAAUGGAGUGCCUCUCACCAGCCUGAGCUGAUUGUAUCAGACAAUUUCAGCUUAAUUCCCAUCCAGGGAAAGCCAAUGAGUCAAAGUUACCAAGACCAAAAGAUCAUGUAUUCAACCACUCAACAAAUAUUUAUGAGUGCCUAGCACUGUUCUUAGCCUCAGGGAUAAAGCAAUUUUUAAAAACGCCAAAUCCCUUCCUUCCUGGAGGUUUUCUAACAACAAAAGGAAAGAAAGAAGAUAGACAGCAGACACAGAAACUUGAAUAUGGCAUGCAAUAAUAAAC
Molecule: long non-coding RNA, 1085 nt
Organism: Fukomys damarensis (Damara mole-rat)
Lineage: Eukaryota; Metazoa; Chordata; Mammalia; Rodentia; Bathyergidae
Exons: 5
Source: RefSeq, a predicted model, not a curated record